GAUAAACGCUGGCGGCGUGCUUUAUGCAUGCAAGUCGAACGGUUUCGAUUUAUUGGAACAGUGGCAAACGGGUGAGUAAUGCGUAAGUAACCUGUCCUUAAGUAGGGAAUAACUCUGAGAAAUUGGAGCUAAUACCUUAUGUGGUGGUGGGGAUAAGGCUCCAUCACUAAAGCCUUAGGACGCUUGGGGAGGGGCUUGCGUCCGAUUAGCUAGUUGGUAGGGUAAUGGUUUACCAAGGCGAUGAUCGGUAGCUGGUUUGAGAGGAUGGCCAGCCACACUGGGACUGAGACACGGCCCAGACUCCUACGGGAGGCAGCAGCAAGGAAUUUUGUGCAAUGAGCGAAAGCCUGACACAGCGACGCCGCGUGGGGGAUGAAGGCUUUCGGGUUGUAAACCCCUUUUCUCAGGGAAGAAUAAUGACGGUACCUGAGGAAUAAGUCUUGGCUAACUACGUG
This 455-nucleotide ribosomal RNA is filed under the name uncultured bacterium. RNAcentral's name for it is "bacterial SSU rRNA". It matches the Rfam family "Bacterial small subunit ribosomal RNA", at positions 28 to 507 of the family's 1533-position model. The record is from RNAcentral.